GCCGGGCCGUCGAGCGUAACUUCCUUGCUGGAUCGAAGGUUAGAUUCUCGGCCGCGCGGAAUCAUAAUCCGCGUGUCAGGGGUUCGAGUCCCUUCCCCGGUACCA
Molecule: transfer RNA, 105 nt
Filed under: Planctomycetota bacterium
Lineage: Bacteria; Pseudomonadati; Planctomycetota
Description: Planctomycetes bacterium (groundwater metagenome) tRNA-OTHER
Source: RNAcentral